Long non-coding RNA from Juglans regia (Persian walnut), 965 nucleotides. RefSeq lists it as uncharacterized. The transcript is spliced from 3 exons. The record is from RefSeq and is a predicted model, not a curated record. Lineage: Eukaryota; Viridiplantae; Streptophyta; Magnoliopsida; Fagales; Juglandaceae.
UCUAAACUCUUCCGUUUGUUAAAAUCAUACCCAUUUAUCCUAUAAAUUUUACAUGUUUAACUCACCCCGAAUUCCCUCUCUCAAUUCCACAACGAUCGCAUUAUCCAUAAGCCAACCGAUUCCACAACCAAUCGAUUGUCCCAGCUUAAAAUCUUGAUCACGAUUGAAUUCCUAGCUUACAGCAGUCAUUGUUUGACUCCGAUCUGAACUCAUCCUGAUCUUCCCCCUCUGCAAUCUCAAAAACACAGCCAUCCACCCUGAUAGCAAGCUACUCCAGCCAACUACACACCUGACCACUUUUUCAUGUUCCAGCCACCAGCUCCGUCUUCUUCACUCGGCGUCGCACUCUCCCUCCUCUCGUGCUCUUCCGUCGACGCUCUGCCGUAAUUCAAGUCCAAACGCCGCAGUAUGCGCCUUCCCACUUUGUCGCACAACUCUAUUUUUCUCGAGCGGACCUCUAUGCUUGUGCCUCACAUAAUAUCUGCCAUCUGCAUCAAAAUCUACGACUUCGAGGAGCGGAACUGCAGGUGGGACCACCAUGGUGAGAUUUCACAAAAUCUCAUGGCGGGCGACGGCAAGGGCGAUAUCUAAUAAUUUCAUCUAUAGGAAAGAGAGAGGAGGGAGCUUGUGAAGGAUGGCCAAUGAUGUUGUAUUUAUAUCUUGAGGAGAAAUCCAGUGUGGUCAAGUUUUUUUCUGGACCCUCCCCAAUGGGUGGUGUGAAUCACCCCUUUUGCAGCACAUCCAGUUUCCGGGUUUUCUCUAAACAAUUGUAUUGAAUAAAUAAGAUGAAUAGUGGCUGAUGAGAAGAAUUUUUCAAUAAAUAAAACAACAUUAAUCAGUUCAUUUUAAUUAUCAAAAAAAAUUAAUCAGUUCAUGCACUCCUCACAAUUUGUAUACAUAUGCACAUCAUAUAAAUUCUCCACUAUUUUGGAAGGAUAGUAGGGAAGUGAUGGUGGAAAGAGACA